This 537-nucleotide ribosomal RNA is filed under the name uncultured archaeon. RNAcentral's name for it is "bacterial SSU rRNA". It matches the Rfam family "Archaeal small subunit ribosomal RNA", at positions 460 to 997 of the family's 1478-position model. The record is from RNAcentral.
AGCAGCCGCGGUAACACCGGCGGCCCGAGUGGUGAUCGUGAUAUUGGGUCUAAAGGGUCCGUAGCCGGUUUGGUCAGUCCUCCGGGAAAUCUGAUAGCUCAACUAUUAGGCUUUCGGGGGAUACUGCCAGACUUGGAACCGGGAGAGGUAAGAGGUACUACAGGGGUAGGAGUGAAAUCUUGUAAUCCCUGUGGGACCACCUGUGGCGAAGGCGUCUUACCAGAACGGGUUCGACGGUGAGGACGAAAGCUGGGGGCACGAACCGGAUUAGAUACCCGGGUAGUCCCAGCCGUAAACGAUGCUCGCUAGGUGUCAGGCAUGGCGCGACCGUGUCUGGUGCCGCAGGGAAGCCGUGAAGCGAGCCACCUGGGAAGUACGGCCGCAAGGCUGAAACUUAAAGGAAUUGGCGGGGGAGCACAACAACGGGUGGAGCCCUGCGGUUUAAUUGGACUCAACGCCGGACAACUCACCGGGGGCGACAGCAAUAUGUAGGCCAAGCUGAAGACUUUGCCUGAAUCGCUGAGAAGAGGUGCAUGG